GGGGCCGGGCGCAGCCAGUCUCCCGCCGCCGCCGCAGCCGCCGGACGCGCAGAGCGAGGGGCGGCUUGACCGACGGCUGCCCCGCGGAGCGCAGAGAGUCGCGGCGCGGGGAGCGUGCCGGGCUGGGACGAGGGUCGCGUCGGUGUUCUUGGCGAGCGACCGGCUCUCAGGCGAGUGCUAAGGGGACCCGAGACCGACUGGACGGGACUUUGGGGAGGGGGCAUCCGGCGCUAGUGGCAGUGCUGCUCCGGCCCUUGCCAUUCGCUUUUGGGCAACCCUAGUGGGCUCCGGGGCUGGGGGCUGCCCAACCCGGCCCGAGUCCACGGCUUGGAGCCCGGGAGGCUGGAGUCGUAGGUUUUUCGCUCCCCUCCCCCGCCCCGCCGCAGUUGCCCCGAGAUGUCCCGGCUCCCAGAACCGGGUGCAGGUGGCAGAGUGGCCAGGCGCGCGCGUCCGCGGGUGAGUUUCCUUUUGACCCUGCUGCCUGAGAACUUUUCAGAAGUUUCUCGCGUGGCCAGAGCAGGUGACAUUUGUCGCCUUUCUCAUCGGGCUCCCCCCGGGGGAGGGUGCGGGAGCUGCGGCGUGUGCCGGGUGAUCCCAGCAGGCGGGGGUCAGGGAGGGAGUGGAGGGAUGAGCGAGGAGUGAGGCUUGGUGAGUCACGGACCCCGGGAGGGAGGAGGAGGGAUUGUGUCGUACGCUCACCUGUUUGUCAGUCACCGUCACACUCAGAGGCCACCGCCGUGAGUCACGGGGCGCAGCUAUACCGGCCACCCGCGGGCACACGUAGGUCCUCUCCCACGCACUUCUACUCCCUCCUCUGCACGUACUUCCUCUCCGUCCUCAGUUUCCCCUCCCCGGGGGGGCCUUUUCCCCGUCACGCACUGUUGAGAUGCCCACACCACAGCAACAGCCAUACACUUAGUCACUCCUGUUCCCGGCACAGUCACACAGCCAUAGCCCACAUUCCUGACACCAGAGCGUCCUCCCCAGCUCUCUCACUGCCCACCCAACACCUCCACUCAGAAGUCGCACAGUCCUCUGAAGCGUAACUCAUCACCCCACGCCCCCAAAUCCUCCAUAGCCCUGCCCUCUUAUAUCUCCGCAUCCCAAAGUCAUCAGGCCCACCCCCCUUUCUCCUCUGUUCUUGUACUGUCACCUCACCUGGCCCUGGCUUCUCUGUCCAACAGGUCACACCCCCUCUAGUCCCGGUGCUGAGCCAUCUUUUAAGAAUGCAAAUCUGGUAUUGUCACUCCCUACUUAAACCCUUCAGUGGCUUCCUGUGCCCUCAGGCUAAAGCCUGCCCUGUAGCCCUGGCUCUGCUGUCUCUUAAGCUGCCCCUCCUCCACUCACCUUUUUGGCUGUUCCUGCUCCAGAUCCUCACCCGUACUAUACCCACUCUCUUGAAGAACUCUCCCUACAUCCAUUUUCCAGAGAAAUUUGCCUUCACCCCCUCUUUUCCCUGUGAUUCUUUCCCUGCAUGGCCCUUUCACCCUCUCCAUUCCAUCACCCCACACUGAUUGUCCCCAUCCUCCAGCUCACACUUCUAGAGGACAACAUUUGUUGUAAAUCUUGCCCCCUGUAUGACCAAACACCUACCCCAGUACUUGACUCAUUAUGGGAGCUCAGUAAAUAUUUGUGGAAUGAAUGAAUGAAUGAAUGAAUGGAGUUAAGGAGGCCUUGGCUUAGGUGGAGGGAGCUGUCACUGUCAGGUGUAAUUUCCCUCCUGCAGAAGCAAGUGCCUUAAGUAGCCAGCUAAUGUUUGGCACCUACCCAGUGCCAAGCCCUAGAGGCUAGGCCUAGGAACUGUCCCCUCCCCCAGAUGACUUUCAGAGGGAUGGGUGGGGGAGGGGUGUGCCCAUGCUUCCUGUCUGCUGUCUCUGGGCUGUCCAGGCAGUUUGUUUCACUAGGGACCAGAGGUGCUCUUAGGUGCUUUUCCCCUGUCCUAGGAAGUAAUUCUUGGGGGUUGGGGUCAUGUGACCCCAGGUGUUUGGGGGUGGGGGUAGCUGGCCAAGGCCUUCAGUUCUGAGGUUAAAGGACACAUUCUUCAGAUUCCUGGAGGGGUUUGGAGGCGACUAAAGGUGCCCCCUCCCUAAUACCAGCUCUGGCUCGGAGCUGGGGCACUGAUGGGACUGCUGAGGUGGACAGAGGAGUUGAUGGGACUUUUUAGAGGUCUUGAAAUGUCCUUCCCCAAACAGCCCUGGGUUGCUUGGUGCCAAGAGUGAGGUGGCCUUCCUUGGAUUCACAUAGUGCAACCUGAGUGUGUAGUUGUGGCCUGUAGGCUUGGGAGACAUUCUCCUAGGCUGCCAGUGCCUGUGUGUGGUGGCUGGAGGGCUGCCUGAUUCUCAGGGCCCAGUCAGAUCCCGGAAGAAGCCUGGUUCUCUUUGAUUCAGGGCCUGUCUCCCGGGGCUCCUUGGGGGUGUGGUAUUUCUGUCUGAGCCAGCUCCCUGGGAAUUUCUUUUCCUUCCUCCAGGACCCCAGGAGGGGGUUGUGCUCACCCUGGGAACAGUGCCACGGUCAGGAUCUUGAUUCCUGGGGAGCUGCAGAGGGCCCCUCCCCCACCCUCUGACUCACUGUCUGACACUUUUCUUGGACUCUUUCACUAUCUUUCAUUCCUUUUUCUGACUUGGCUUCUCCUUGUUUCUGGCUCAGUCUUUCCAUCUCAUCUCCUGCCUCUGCCUCUCUCAGCCUCUGAAUCCCCAGGUGGGACGGAGGAACUGAGAUCCAGGAGCUCUUCCCCACCUCCCCAAGGGAAUAUCAGGGAGGAGAUGAUUCUCAUUUCAUUCCAGGUCUGCAGAUCCUGCAAGGGGCUCAUCACUCCUGCCUGCAGUGUGAUUGUAACCUCCCUAUGACUCUUUUCCUAUCUGCAGCCUUGGAGGCUAGAACCCCCUCACCUUAAAUCCUUCUAUGGACAUUCCUGAUGGCAGAGCCCUGGUAUCUGGCCUGAGCUGCUUCCUUGACAUCUCUUCAUCUGUUUACUCUUGGGGAACAGGGGGCCUCCUGUUAUGCCUGUGUUGGCACCACCUGCAGUUAGACCUUCCCUCUUCAGUCUUUAGGGCCACCUUUAAGUGUCAUUCUUGCUUGAGUCCUCUGGCACUGGCCAGAGGAGGAACAUGUGGCCCUCUCCUAAAUUAACUGCCAGGAGCCAAAGGUCACAUUGAAAAUUUGUGUACUUAUAAUCUGUUUCUAGGUCGAUUCCUGAUACCAUGGGAGCUAUCUUGGUCAGUUUGGACUGCUAUAACAAAAAUGGCAUAGGCUGGGUGGCUUAGACAAAAGAAGUUACUUCUUCUGUUUCUGAAAGUGGGUGGGUGCAAGUUCAGGGUGUCAAUCUGAUGAGGAGGGUUCCUUUUCUAAUAUGCAGAUGCACUGUGUCUUACUGUGUCCUCACAUGGUAGAGAAAGAGGUCAUCUCUGUGUUUCUUAUAAAGGCAUUAUUUCCAUUCAUGACCUUAUCUCCCAAAGGCCUUUAAGCACCAUCACUUGGGAUUUGACUUCCAACACAGGAAUUUUGGUAGGACACAAAUAUUUGGUCUACAGCAUGACUUAGAGAGGCAGGAGGAAAGAGUAGGGGACUCUGGAGGUCCCUUUGGAGAUAACUUCUGAAAGAGAAUGAGGUUGGGUUGUUCCAGUUUGUGCAAAGGCCGGGAGAUGGGCAAGGGUAUGGUCGGUAGGGGAAAUGCAGGUUCAGCUGGAGUACAGAGAAGAGCCAUAGGGAGACUGCGGGAUGAGGCUGGAGGCCAAGCAGUGGCCAGCUCUGCUUCAGCCUCUUAACUGAUCCUAAGGUCAAGCUUCCCCAGGGGGAGCUACAGACAGAGUGGUGCUAUGCAAUGGAAUGGCAGGUGGAUCUUUGGUUUUACAGGGUCAUUCUGGCUGCAGAGUAAUGGUUGGUGGAGAGAGCAGGAGCAGAAGCAGGGGACAUGUGUAGUAGUAAUGGGGACUGGGAGGUGAUAAGGGUAAUAAACUUUAUUUAUUUUAAGUGCUAGGAAUUGAACCCAAGGCUUGAGCAUCCUAGGCAAGUGCUGUACAGCUGAGCUACACCCUCAGCCCAGACUUUUUAAAAUUGAUGGUGACCUACAUAGAAUUCAUGCAGUGUACACAUUCCACAUGUACAGCUAGAUGAAUUUUUAGUUUUGGGGCACCCCUAUCACCACCAACCAGAGCACAACAGAGAACAUUUCUAGACCUCACAGGAAAUCCCCUCAUGACUCUCCCCAGUGUGUGCCCCUCCCUCCCCCUGGAACCACUAUUCUGACUUGUGUAAUCACUGAUGAGUUUUGCCUUUUCUUGAACUUCAUGAUCAGGAUUUUGUUUCUGGUUUCUUUGUCUCAGUGUAAUAUCUGAGAUUCAUCUGUGUUGUGUGUAUCCAGGAGCUCAUUCUUUUUUCCACACAUUUACUGAAACACUUAUCAUUGUCCAAGAACAUGACUUGUAUCGAUUCCUGUAAACCUUCUAACCCUAUGAGGUUUUAAGACAAAAGAGUCGGAGGCCCAGAAAUGUUAAGGAACUUGUCCAGGAUCACCCAGCCAAUUAAUAUCCAAGGUAGGGUUCAAAGGCAGGCAGUCUGGUUCUGGAGCCAGGGUUUUUAAUACAAUGCUGGGUGGCCUCCAGGAUGCCUACUGAGUCUGUGCCUGACUUUGUGUGGAGUACGUGAAUGUGUAUGUGAACUUCAGGACCCAGGGCCUGGACGUAGAUGAAGGGAGAGGGAGGAAGGAGUUGAGGAUGGCUGCAGGUUUCUGGCUUGAGCAACUGGGUGGGUGGCAGUGCUGUUACUAAGAUAGGGAACACAGGAAGAGGAACAGAUGGUGUUGGGGGUGGGGGACAGAGACCAGGGUUCAAUUUGGGGCCUGUGGAAUUGUAUGUUUCCUGGGGAAGGCCAGGCAUAGAGAGUGGGCAAUUGGUGGUGGUGAGGAGGGGGACGCCGUCCUCAGACCAGGCACGUGAUUAAGGAGGCAUUCAGCACCCUAUAGAUGGCACCUGGAAUUUGGGGGAAAGGAUGGUGUCUCCCCACAGGGGCAGGAAGUGUGGGUGCUGUUUGUUCAUGUGUGUGCUUCUGUGUCUGAAUAUCUGUGGUCUCUGUGUGUGUGCAUGUGUGUGCCUGGCUCUGGAUUAUGAGUUCCCCCAUCUCCUGGGAGAGCCUGCAGGUCAGCUGGGAGCUGGGUUGUUUUUGUUUGUGGUUUGACCCUGGGAAGGGGGGUGCCAAGCCUAAGAAACUACCCCCGGAAACACCUGUGUAUCCUCUUCCCCCAGGCCCAGGGUGGGGGGCUAG
This 5259-nucleotide long non-coding RNA is filed under the name Marmota monax (woodchuck). The record is from RNAcentral. Lineage: Eukaryota; Metazoa; Chordata; Mammalia; Rodentia; Sciuridae.